GUCAUAGAUUACAUGUAUGUCGGGGAGCCAAGAGAAAACACAAGUCGUUGAUUGCUGAUCCAUACACUGCAUCUCAAGCAUGCGCGCAUCAUUACAUGAGGCCGAACCAACGAAGAACCAAAUAGGAAUCACAGCAACGAAGUAACCAAAUUGGAAUCACAACAACGUAGUAUGAGGCUACCCUACAAAAAUUUGGAAUGAGGUGCAGUGGAACUCAGUCCGAGUGAGAAGAAAGAAAGAAAGAAAGAAAGAAGCUAAUGGCCGAUGCCAGGGCUGGGGACGGAUCCCAGAAUCCUCUCGACGUUGUUCUCGCUUGUGCCGUGACCGCUGAUGCUCGGAGAAGAUGGCGGCGGGCAUCUCUUUGGCGAAACAGUACUUUGCAGUGAAUCAGCAUCAGCUUUCAGGGAUCCAACCUUGUCGUUCUUCCUGGCAUGCAGAGGGGGUGCGAGGACGAGAGAGAGGAUGAGCACGAGUGUGAUCGGCUUGCAGAACGAGGCCAUGGUGAGAGGUGGGAGGAUUUCGGGAAGGGCUGUGGGUGGCUUUUAUAUUGUGAUGAGAGAGAGGGUGGUGUGCAGCGGAAGGAGAAUUGCAAUAACCAAAUUAUUGAGUCCUAAUUUGAAUGAAUGCAAAGUUUCGAUUGUGUCUCAGACUUGAGAGUGGAGGAUUGAGGAGAAGAGUUGUAAUGUAAGCAAUCACUAAC
RNAcentral lists this long non-coding RNA (700 nucleotides) under Musa acuminata (dwarf banana). Its description in RNAcentral is "long non-coding RNA (MACU_LNC006254)". The record is from RNAcentral. Lineage: Eukaryota; Viridiplantae; Streptophyta; Magnoliopsida; Zingiberales; Musaceae.